This 253-nucleotide ribosomal RNA is filed under the name uncultured bacterium. RNAcentral describes it as "partial 16S ribosomal RNA". It matches the Rfam family "Bacterial small subunit ribosomal RNA", at positions 524 to 776 of the family's 1533-position model. The record is from RNAcentral.
UACAGAGGGGGCAAGCGUUGUUCGGAAUUACUGGGCGUAAAGCGUGCGCAGGCGGUUUUGUAAGCCAGAUGUGAAAUCCCCGGGCUUAACCUGGGAAUGGCAUUUGGGACUGCAAGGCUAGAGUGUGGCAGAGGAGACUGGAAUUCCUGGUGUAGCAGUGAAAUGCGUAGAUAUCAGGAGGAAUACCGAUGGCGAAGGCAGGUCUCUGGGCUAACACUGACGCUCAUGCACGAAAGCGUGGGGAGCAAACAGG